GCAUUAUGGAAUUUUUCCAGUCGCAUUUCUGCCAUUCCGGGAAUAAUUUCUGUGAUUAACACGGGUUCACGUCAUUCCCAUUUUGAUACAAUUUGGUUUAUUUUCUAUUCACAGAGGAAAAGUUUACGGGGAUGGACAACAAGACGGGAUAAAAGUCAAGAGGCUGAGUGAAUGACUGGAAGACGGAAUUCAGCAAUUUGUAAGGACGUGAAGGAGGAAUAGCUGGUAGAGCAGUGAUCAGAGAAGGAAGAUAGCAGAGCGCUUAAGGUUUCAGCUUUUCUCUUAUUUUCUUCUAAAUUCACUAAUCAUCAUCAAUAUCAUCAACAAAAUAAAAUCAUCCCCAGUACUCGGCUUGGGACAUCACCUUUUGGAAAUGGAAAAAAUGAAGGAGCGAGAAAAUAAAAAAUUCUAUUUUGUGAGCAUUUGACAGGGAAAUAAAAUUACACGUUUGAAA
Molecule: long non-coding RNA, 454 nt
Organism: Phlebotomus papatasi
Lineage: Eukaryota; Metazoa; Arthropoda; Insecta; Diptera; Psychodidae
Exons: 2
Source: RefSeq, a predicted model, not a curated record